GAUUAUUUAGUUUAGUGAAAAAUUUUAGUUUGUGGAACUAAAGAGUUUAAUAGUCA
Molecule: transfer RNA, 56 nt
Filed under: Trouessartia rubecula
Lineage: Eukaryota; Metazoa; Arthropoda; Arachnida; Sarcoptiformes; Trouessartiidae
Description: tRNA-His
Source: RNAcentral